Molecule: long non-coding RNA, 20408 nt
Filed under: Erythranthe guttata (spotted monkey flower)
Lineage: Eukaryota; Viridiplantae; Streptophyta; Magnoliopsida; Lamiales; Phrymaceae
Description: long non-coding RNA (EGUT_LNC003396)
Source: RNAcentral
CUUGUGAACAUUUUUAAUUCUGAGUAUUGUUCUUUUGUCUUUAUAUUUCCGCUGCAUGUUUGUUCAAGUGUCAUAACACUUUCAACAACACCUCUGUAUUAAACGAAUUCGGGACCAUAAAUUCUUUCAAUUGGCAUCAAGAGCCAACACUUGACAUAUACUAAGUGUUUGUUCCUAUUUUUCUUUUUCAGAAACGAAUUCGUGAUGGAUACUCAGAUGACUGCUUCUAUGCGACCUCCUGUACUCGACGGCACAAAUUACACCUACUGGAAAGUCAAGAUGAGGGCAUACAUCAAAGCCAUUGAUGAGAGAGCCUGGAGAUCCAUUCUCACCGGAUGGAAAGCACCAACAAUCACAGAUGCAGAUGGGGAUGUAUUUCCAACACCAGAGCUACGGUGGACAGCAGAUGAUCUAUCAAAUGCCAAUCAAAACUCAAAGGCAUUGAAUGCAAUCUUCAACUCAGUAGAUUUAACAAUGUUUAAAUUGAUCUCAGUAUGCACUUCUGCAAAGGAUGCAUGGGAGGUUCUACAGCUACAUUGUGAAGGAUCAGAUAGUGUCAGAAGAACCAAGCUCAGAUUACUCUCUUCCAAAUUUGAGAGACUGAGAAUGGAAGAAACUGAAACUAUUUCUCAGUACAAUGAGAAAUUGAUUGAUCUAGCCAAUGAAUUUCAAUCCCUAGGUGGUCCUUUAAGCAAUGAGACACUGGUGAAUAAGGUGUUAAGAACUCUCCCAGAAAGAUUCAGCAUGACGGUUACUGCUAUUGAGGAGGCCAAAGACACAUCAUCUCUACGGCUGGACGACUUAAUUGGAAGUCUAAAGUCUAGAGAAAUGAACUUUGAAGAUCAAAGAAAGGAGAAAGGAAAGGCUAUCUCAAAUGCACUUCAGGCAGAAUUGGAGAAAGAAGAUGUUGCUCAGGAGUUUGAUGAUGAUGCAGAGGAAUGCCUCAACAAUGUUGCAUUCCAAAUUCAGAAAUUCAAUAGGGCAUACAGGCGAGGUGGAAUCAAGCCCAGACAACUAUUUCCAGAUGGCUCUUCACAAAACCGACAAACUCAGCCCCGGAGCAGACCUACUUCACAGAGAACAUUUCCUCAAACACCUUCUCAGAACACUUCUAAAAAUUCUUCAUUUGUUCGUUCAAAUUCUGAACCACCUAACUUGGAUCACAUUAAAUGCAGGGCUUGUUCUGGAUUUGGACAUUAUGCUAAUGAAUGUGCAAAUACCUUGAGAAGAAGAGGAAUGAGUUUGAUUUGUGCAGUCAGUGAUGAGGAGGAAGAACAACCUGAACAGACAGAGGAACAGCAAUCCACUAAACAAGCUCUAUCUGUCAGAUAUAUCACUGGAAAUGAUUCUGAAACAGAAUCACAAAGAGUUUCUCUAGAUGAUGCAACACUUUCUGAAACACUUUCAGUAACUGAAAUAUCUGAGUUAAAUACUGAUCAUUAUACAUGUUUAAACUCUAUUUCUGUAAAUGCAGCAGAAUCCAGCAUUGAAGCAGCUAGUGAUGAGGGAGAAAUCUGUAGAAAACUGGCUCUUGACCUGGAGAAGAAGACUCAAGAUCUGGAUGCAGCAAACAAGGAAAAUUCCUCCCUCAAAGAAACAAUCACACAUUUGGAGGUUGGACUCACCAGGAAGGAUCUUGAACUGGCAAAGGUGAAGGAUGAACUUAAGAAGGCAACUCUAGCAAUCAAGAGGAUGAACACUGGCACAACUAAACUUGAAGAGAUUGUGUCAAUGGAAAAGCAUUACAAACAUGAAAGGCUAGGGUUCAAAAAACAAAUGAAGCCAGUCGAGAAGAAAGAAAUUGUCUUUGUAAAAGAAAAGGGUGCAACCAGAAAGGAAUGUAGGAAGUCCACAGCCACUCCUUCAGACUCCAGAAUAAGAGGUUAUGUUUGCCAUUACUGUUUCUCACCAGGACACAUUCGUCCAUUUUGUGAGAAACUCAGUAAUGACAAAAUGUUGUAUAAAAUAAGUCACAUCACUCCAAGAAACACCUCAAAGAAAAAGGUAGAAUUUACCAAAAAGGAGUGUAAAAUAUGGACUCCCAAAGGUAAACUUUUGUGCAAAGCAGUAUAUACCUCUUUGAAUGCUAACAUUUCAGGUUCUUGGUACUUUGAUAGUGGAUGUUCUAGACACAUGACUGGAACAAAGGAAUUUCUAUCAAACUACCACACACUUAGUGGAGGACGUGUAACCUAUGGAGGAGGAGCUAAAGGCAAAGUGGUUGGACGUGGAACUCUCAGUAUUGAGGGACUUCCAAAACUUUCAAAUGUCCUACAUGUUGAAGGAUUGGGGUCAAAUCUCAUUAGUAUCAGUCAAUUGUGUGAUGAUGAUCUACGUGUAGAAUUUGAUAAAUACUGUUGUUCUGUGUUUGAUAAUCAAAAUCAUUGUGUACUUACAGGUUCCAGAUCAAUGGAUAAUUGCUAUCAAACAGGUGACACCAUCUCAUGCAAGAGUUCAAGAGUAAGUGAAGUAGAGCUGUGGCACCAGAAACUAGGACAUACAAACUUCAAGAAUCUGAAGCUGCUCAACAAGUACAAUGCCAUAAGAGGAGUACCAGAUCUCAAGAUCAAGGAUAUUCCUAUAUGUGGAAUGUGCCAGAAGGGAAAGCAAACCAGAGUACCACACAAAGUGUUGCAACACGUUGGUACCACUAUUUGUUUUGAACUUGUACAUAUGGAUCUUAUGGGUCCUAUAGAGGUAGAAAGUCUAGGUGGAAAAAAAUAUGUCUUUGUAUGUGUUGAUGAUUUUUCAAGAUAUACUUGGGUGUAUUUUUUGAGAGAAAAAUCAGACACCUUUGAAGUUUUCAAAAAUUUGUACAGGUUUGUUAGAACUCAAUUUCAAGUUUCUGUUCGUAGGAUAAGAUCUGAUCAUGGAAAAGAAUUUGAGAAUGCUUUAUUUUUUGCUUUUUGUAAUAAAAAGGGAAUAAAGCAUGAAUUUUCUGCUCCAAAAACUCCUCAGCAAAAUGGCAUUGCUGAAAGGAAAAACAGAACUAUUCAGGAAAUGGCUAGGGUGAUGAUGAGUGCAAAAAAUUUGUCUAAAAGGUUUUGGGCUGAGGCUGUCAACACAGCCUGUCACAUCUCAAACCGUGUGUAUCUAAGAUUAGGAUCUAUGAUGACUUCAUAUGAAAUUCUUUAUGGUAAGAAACCUAAUCUAGAAUACAUGCAUGUGUUUGGAUGUGUCUGCUAUGUUCUAAAUGAUAGAGAUCAUCUAGCUAAAUUUGAUUCAAAAAGUGAUUUGAGCUUAUUUAUGGGAUACUCUAAUAACAGUCAUGCUUAUAGAGUAUACAAUCUAAGAACUCGAACCAUUAUUGAAUCUGUAAAUGUGGUAUUUGAUGACUUUGCUGAUCUCCGCAGUAAAACAGCUGAAGAUGAAGUUGAUGACUUGAUUGCUGAAAGGGAAACAACAGAAGAAGACACUUCUGCCACAGAAAGCCCAGACACAAACAGUCCAGUCUUAAGAGAAGAAGGUGCUGAGCCAAGUGUCACCACAUCUGACUCAACACAUCCUACAGAGACUGAGUUGCAACCAACCCUAGAUGUCUGCAGAAAGGAACCAUCAAGCAGAAUCCAGAAAAAUCACCCAUCAACUCAAGUAGUGGGUGAUAUCUUUGGUGGAAUAAGAACCAGAAGAAAAGAGAGAGAGUGAACUACAGAGAUAUGGUAAGAUUUGCUAAUUUAUCUUCUGAAUGUGCACUAACUGGAACCACUUGUUUUGUGUCUUCAGUGGAACCAAGAAAUAUUGCAGAAGCUCUAAAGGAUGAAUUCUGGGUAAAUGCAAUGCAUGAAGAGUUGAAUCAAUUCAUCAGAAAUGAUGUGUGGUACUUAGUUCCCAGACCAAGCCAUGUAAAUGUGAUAGGGACUAAGUGGAUCUUCAAAAACAAAACUGAUGAAAAAGGUACAGUUGUUAGAAAUAAGGCUAGGUUAGUAGCACAAGGAUAUACUCAAAUUGAGGGUAUAGACUUUGAUGAGACUUUUGCUCCAGUAGCUAGAAUUGAAUCUAUUAGAUUACUCCUUGCUAUAGCCUGCUUUCUUAAAAUCAAACUGUAUCAGAUGGAUAUCAAAAGUGCAUUUCUGAAUGGAGUUUUAAAUGAGGAAGCAUAUGUUGAACAGCCAAAGGGUUUUGAAGAUUCUGCCAAGCCUAAUCAUGUUUUCAAGCUUAAGAAGGCACUGUAUGGUCUUAAACAAGCUCCUAGAGCAUGGUAUCAAAGACUCACUGACUUCUUACUUGAAAUACAGUUCAAUAGAGGGGAGGCAGACAGAACCCUAUUUGUUAGAAGAACUAAUAAUCAUAUCAUUAUUGUUCAGAUAUAUGUUGAUGACAUUGUUUUUGGCUCUACUUGUGCUAACCUUUUACAGUCUUUUGUAGAUUCAAUGUCUCACACUUUUGAAAUGAGUAUGGUAGGGGAGUUGAAUUACUUCUUAGGACUCCAAAUCAAACAGACAGGUGAAGGAAUGUUUGUGAAUCAGAAGAAGUAUGCUCUCAACCUGGUCAAAAGGUUUGAGUUGGAAUCAGCCAAGCACAUGAAAACUCCAAUGGGUUCCAGCCAAAAACUGUCUAAGGAUGAUGUUGCAGAAGAUGUCGACAGCACUCUCUACAGAAGCAUGAUUGGAAGUCUUCUGUAUCUAACAGCAAGCAGGCCUGACAUUAUGUUUAGUGUUUGUGUGUGUGCCAGAUAUCAAGCAAAUCCCAAGGUCACCCAUCUUAAAGCUGUGAAGAGGAUUAUUAGGUAUGUUGCAGGUACAGUAGACUUAGGGAUUCAGUUUUUCAAAGACACAAAUACAAACUUGAUAGGCUUUAGUGAUUCUGAUUGGGCUGGGGAUAUUAGUGACAGAAAAAGCACAUCAGGUGCAUGUUUCUUUUUGGGGAAUAAUCUAGUUUCUUGGUUUAGUAGAAAGCAAAACUGUGUAUCUCUUUCAACAGCUGAAUCAGAAUAUGUAGCUGCUGGAGGGUGUUGUGGUCAACUAAUUUGGAUGAAACAAAUGUUGGGAGAUUAUGGGUUAACCAGUGAUACCCUGACCAUAUAUUGUGAUAAUUCAAGUGCUAUUGACAUUUCAAAAAAUCCCGUUCAACACUCACGAACUAAACACAUAGAUAUUAAACAUCAUUUUAUUCGUGAUAUAGUUGAGAAAAAUAUAGUGUGCUUAAAGUACAUUCCUACAGAAGAUCAGCUGGCUGACAUCUUUACAAAGGCAUUAGAUUAUGAGAGGUUUUCAAAACUCAGAAAAACUCUCGGGAUGUGUACUCAAUAAACAUGUCCUGAAAUGUGUUGCAGCACCUCAUCAAAUAUCUUAAGCUGCAACACAAUCUACUGAAGCAUUAGCUUCAUUAAAUAAUGACUUCACUGUGAUGUAUUAUUUUCUAAAUCAGUAACUGGAAGUCUUUCACCUUGAAACGUGAUCAUGCUUCAUGUAAACAUUUAGACAAAUAAUUACACUCACAUAAGUCAAACUCCUCUAUUUUGAUAGUCAUAUCUUAGUAACUGAUGAACCUUCAAACUGAACACUUGAUCAUGUUCCAUGUGAAAUGUUUGACUUGAAUAUAUAUAUAUAUAUAUAUAUAUAUAUAUAUAUAUAUAUAUAUAUAUAUAUAUAUAUAUAUAUAUAUAUAUAUAUAUAUAUAUAUAUAUAUAUAUAUAUAUAUAUAUAAUAAUAAAUAUAUAAAUAUACAGAUAUAAUAGUAUCUAUGCCUGUCAGCAAAUUUUUCUCACUAUUAAUCAUUAAUAAAUGUAUUUCUCUAUUAUUUGUGAAUAUUUCUUGAGUGCUACGGUUUUAUUGAUUUUUCUCUUUUCAUUUUAAUUAUCCCUAUUUAUAUGGGUCAUGGGUACAUGGGUUAAUUCCUUAUUUUCCACUAAGUCCACUCCUUAUUGUGCCAUGUGUCACGUUUUUAUUUUAAACUGCCAAGGAAAUUUUAUUCUCCUUAAUCACACUCUCCCCAAGAAAAACGGACACCACUUCUUCACCUUCUCCACUUCAAUUUUUUUUUCUUUCUUCUUCAGCAAAAAUUAGGGCUUAUAAAUUUCGUGCUUCUUCUCACAAAAUUCACACUCAAAAAUCAAAAGCACAAAGAAGCAAUUUUACUUUAUCUACUGUAUCAUGGCAUCCCCACCUAGAAAUCCUCCUCCAGCCGUCGAUGGUGAUGUCCACAACGAUGCUGCAGCACCUGUACCAGCAAACCCAAAUCUGGCCAUCAUCGUUCAUCCAAUCAACUUUGAAGCUGUUCCUAUCAGCUACAUUGAGCCCGGCGACGAGCUGAACCCGAUUGACCCAGACAACUUUGAUUUUGUGGGUCCCUCUUCCACCGCCGGAAGAUUUCCAACGCGCCGGUCAAAGCGCACGAACCCUUUUCCAGAUCUGAACACUGCGGUGCCACAACGCCGAAGAGGAGAAAACUCUCCCCGGAGAGGAAGCAGAGGUGGAAGAAGAGGAAGCAGAGGUGGCCGCACUCCAGUCCAGUCAAACCCACGAAGAGGUCUUCAUCUGGUAGAUGAAGAAACUGAUGACGAAGCAGGGGAUCCUACCUUUGCUGCACCACAGGCUCAAGCCUUGUCCUCCAGCUCCUCUGAGUCUUCAUCCAACAACUCACCUUCCCCAGCAUCAACUCAGGGGGAGACGUCGCAGCCCAGCAUGGCAACAGCAGCCUCUCAACAUUCUGUUCCUGAAGGUGUUGCUGCACCUGUUUCAGAAGGUGUUGCUGCACCUGUUUCAGAAGGUGUUGCUGCACCUGUCUCUGAAGGUGUUGCUGCACAUGCUCCAGAAGAUGCUGCUGCACCUACUGUUUCAGCAAAUGUUCCUCAGAAUGCUGCUGAGGAUGCUGCCCCUUAUCAGGAUGAAGAAAUGUCUGAUUUCUCUGGAAUGUCAUCAGCAGAGCAUGUAGACAUUCCAUCUGUGGAUGCUCAAGACUUCACCACCACAGAAGAAACUCCAUCAGCACCUCAUGGAGAUCCUCUGGAAACCCUAGCAGAAGCAGCAGUUCAAGCAGAUGCAUCUCCUCCUCAGGCUGAAGAUCCAGAGAAAAGUGAUGAUAGCUGGGAGGUUCCUCUAGCUGCUUUUCGCAAGAAUUUGCCUUCCUCUGAUUCUGACAGUGAAUCCUCUGAAGACUCUUCUCAACAGGAAGAAGGUGUUGCCCCACGUGCUGCAUCACCUGAACCAGCAUAUGUCCCUGAUGAGCUUGAAGAUUCAGAAGAUGAUGAUUCCUCAGAAGAAGAAGAACCAGACCUGGAUGGGAAGAACUUGUCAACCCCUUUUGAGGUAACAAAUGCCUUCAGUCCUAAUUUCUAUUUUGAGUCUGAUUCACUGUUGAGUCCUCAAGUCAUGAAUUGUCAUUUCAUUGAGGAAAAGAAAAUUUCUAAGGAAGAAUUUGAUAGGCAUAGGAUAACAGCUUUUCUUCACCAAAGAAAAAUCCUUAACCUAGUUGAGAUUGCCUGCUCUUAUGAUCCCUUGGUUGUGAAGGAGUUUUAUGCCAACUUGCAAACCUCAUUUUUAAAGAAAAACUCUCCAAAUUUUGGUAAAGUGUUUGUGCGCAAUGCCAUCUAUUCAUUUUCUCCCAAAAUUAUCAACUCUCAUUUGCAAACUCCUACUGUGAUUGAUGAGGAUAAUUAUGGUGAUUUUACUGAGAUUUGCAAAGUUAUUUCUGGAAACCGUUUAAGAAGUUGGCCUGCACACCCAAGAAAAUUUCAAGUCUCUCAACUCACUGCUUUUUACUCUGUCUUAUUUAGACUCACAGUGAUGAAUUGAAUUCCAUCCAAAAAUGUCUCUGUGGUAACAAAACCUCAUGCUGUACUCAUGUACAAAUUGGGGAUGGGAUUACCAGUGGAUUUUGGUAAACUGUUCUUUGAUACUAUUGGUCAUCUUGCCCAGAAAAUUUCACCCUCCACUCAUCUUCCCUAUCCUUCUCUCAUCUACUCCAUUUUACUCUCUCAAAAUUUGGGCCAAGAUGACUCAGAAUAUCUUCACACCCCACACGGCAUGAUCACUGUGUCUCAAAAUUUUCUGAGGGCUCCUCAUGUUCAAAGAUCUUCCCUGGAAUGGAGAUGAUUUUCUCUCAACUGAAUCAGGUCAAAAUAACAUUGGUACUGAGGGUGUUGCACCUCAUGUUGACAACACUUCUAACCUUCUUGUGUCUGUUCCUAGAGAUCUUCUAUUGCAGCAGCUUACUCAUUCUCUAGCUCAGAUUACCUAUCAUCAGUCCAUGGUGGAGAUGAUUCAGAAGGCUCUUUCUGAUCAAAAAGGGGGAAGCUCAAGAAGAAAGCAGUGGAUCUAGUGAUGGAGGAGGAGCAGCAGCUGAAACUGAGGAGACCUUGGAGACUUUGGAUAUUUUACUUUAGAUUGUUUUCAUGAACAAUAUUUUUUUGUUUGUGUUUUGUUUAUUUUCCCUCUGAACUUUUGUUUAGGACUGCACUUUGAUUAUUUCUUUUGUUGGACUAUCUUGCUGAAUUUGGUUUUAAUUUAUUGUUUCUAUGUUUUUUUUCAAAUGGUAUCAAAUUCAGGGGGAGUUCGAGCAAUAUCUCAGGGGGAGUCUUUGACUACGAUUUAGUUUUGAUCAGAAAGUUAAAAAGGGGGAGUUUGAAACACGUGAAUUAAUUUCACUAUGUGUUUUUAACUUUUCUUAACUUCUAAACUAAAUCUUAGUUAGUGGGCUAAGUAGGGUUAAGUAGUGCUUAGUGGAUUUAAUUAUGGAAUUUAUCUUAACUUCCUAACUAACCCACUAACCCAUUAUCUUGAGUGCUCUUGUGGUUGGUUUUCUUGCAGAUCAUGGGCUGAAGAGUGGAAGCUUGGCAAGUCUAUAAAUACCAAACUCAAGACUCAAGAUUAAUACAGAUUUCGAGAGAACAAAAAGAGAGCUAAAGUUUUAAUCUCGAGAAUUUUAGAUUGUUUUCUAGGAUCUGUUUUGUACGUACUCCUUAUGAGUACAUUCUUUGAAAUCUAGAAUUUUUAAUAUUUUUCUUUUAGUAUCUAGAUUUGAUUGUAAGAAUGAUCUUGAAAAAGAUCCAUUCAUAAGGAAGAAGUUUUUGCACCUCUUCUGUUUGUAUUCUUGGAAUACUGUUUUUAAUAUAUUUUUUCCGUCCUGUAAAGGGCAAGUUCACAAGUCUUUACUUGUGAACAUUUUUAAUUCUGAGUAUUGUUCUUUUGUCUUUAUAUUUCCGCUGCAUGUUUGUUCAAGUGUCAUAACACUUUCAACAACACCUCUGUAUUAAACGAAUUCGGGACCAUAAAUUCUUUCAACUUUCACUUUAUGCUAAAGCAAAAGAAGAAAAUGGAAUAUAAUCGACAAAUUAUUAGCUACAUCUCCACUCAAUCUUAUUACCAAUCACAUAGUGCAAUCUGAGACACAAGUAGUGUUAGCUAGCGAGCGAUAAUGGCGGAUGCUAUCGUUUCCGUUGUGUUGGAGCGCAUUGCAGCUCUCGUGGAAGAGAAGAUCCGAGACGAAGUAAAUUUGGUGAGAGGAGUUAAGAAGGAGGUUCUCAAACUUUCCGUUGAUCUGAACACUGUCAGAAACGUGUUGGAAGAUGCGGAGAAGAAGGGGUAUAAGGAAAAAAGCAUCAAAGAUUGGCUGACGAGGCUCGAAAACACGACCUAUGAAAUGGAUGACGUGUUGGACGAAUGGAACUACUCCAUUCUCAAGUUUCAGAUCGAACAAUCGUCUGAUGGUGUUGCUGCUGCUGAUGCUGUUGCUGAUGUUGUUCCUCCUAAGUGCACGGUACGCUUUUGCAUCCCUUGCUCGUUUUUAUGUUUCAAGAAAGUUUCUGUACGUCGUGGAAUUGCCUUGAAGAUAAAACAAGUGAAAGAACGGCUUGAUCUGAUUUUGGCGGAGAAAGGUCAGUUUCAUUUUAAUGAGAUCACGUCACAACCAUCUGAUCGUGAAUCUUGGCGAGGUCAAACUACUUCUAUCAUCGACAAAGAGGAAGUUUAUGGCCGAGACUUAGAGAGAGAAGCUCUGGUAAGCAAACUUGUGGGUGAAGGUGGUAGUAGCGAAGAAGGGUUAAUAGGAGGUAUACGCGUUGUAUCUAUAGUGGGUGUGGGUGGCCUUGGGAAGACAACUCUUGCUCAACUAGCUUAUAACGAUAGUCGAGUAAUGAAUUGUUUUGAGUUAAGAAUUUGGAUAUCUGUUUCGGAUCCUUUUGAUGAGGUUGAGAUUGCCAAAAGGAUUGUGGAGAAAGCAGGAGGGCCUUUACCAAAUACAAUGGACUUGGAUGGGCUGCUACAACGUCUAAUAGAGUCUAUUUCAGGGAAAAAGUUUCUUCUUGUUCUGGAUGAUGUUUGGACAGAAGACGAUACCAAGUGGAAACCCCUGAAAAACGCUAUCAAAAGUGGUGGACAUGGAAGCAAAGUUUUGGUUACAACUAGAAACGAAAGGGUUGCAAUAAUGAUGAUGGGAGAGUUUAUAAAGAAUGAUCAGAUGAUCCAUCGUUUAGGAGUUCUCAAUGAUGAACAUUGUUGGUCAUUAUUCUGUCGAAUUGCCCUUUGUGGUAAGAACAAGGAUGAAUGUGAAGAAUUUGAGAACACGGGUAAGGAGAUAGCCAACAAGUGCAAGGGAUUGCCACUUGCAAUAAAGACUUUGGCAAGUGUUUUGCGUUUCAAGAAUACAUUGGAAGAGUGGGAGAGCGUGUUAAAUAGUGAAAUCUGGAAGUUGGAGGUUGUAGAAGAUGACCUCUUCCGCCAUUUGUUUCUGAGUUACAACGAGUUGUCCCCAACAUUGAAGCGUUGCUUCUCGUAUUGUGCCGUCUUUCCUAAAGAUACCAUAAUUGAGGUGGAUGAGCUAAUAACAAGAUGGAUGGCAAUGGGUUACCUAGGAUCGAAUGCUGAUGAUGACUGGAAAGUUAGAGGGAGAGGGUACUUUGAUAAUUUAGCAAUGCGUUCUCUGUUUCAAGACUUUUAUAUGAAAGAUGGCGAUAAGAUAAAAUCGUUUAUGCUGCAUGACAUUGUACAUGAUUUCGCUGAAUUCCUGAGGAAGAAUGUGGGAUCAAGAAUGAAGAACACAACUUGCAAAGACUGUAGCCCUUUGUUAGUUUCCCGAGUCGAAAAAUAUCGUAGCUUAUUUCGGUGCAAAGAAGUUCUUGAUCCACAUAUUUGUGAUUGCCUGACAAGUGUGAGGUUGCUCGAUUUAAGUUGUUGUGGCUUGCAAGCCAUUCCGAAAGAAAUAGAAAAAUUGAUUCACUUGAGGUGGUUGGACUUGGGUAAUAAUAAAUUUGUUGGUGAUGAUCUCAAGUCCAUUUGUAAGUUGUAUAACUUGCAAUUUCUUUGGGUUAAUAGGUGCAGUCUAGAAGCAAUUCCGGUGGAGAUUGGGAAUUUGAGUGAGUUGAUACACUUGGACUUGAGCAAGAAUAGAGGACUGAGAGAGUUGCCGGAGAGCCUAUGCAAUUUGAGAAAAUUAGAGAGCCUGAAUGUUAAUGAGUGUCGUAGUCUGUGUGGACUUCCACAAGGGAUCCACAAGCUGAAGAAGCUCAAACAUUUGUAUAAUCAAAAUACUCUUUCUCUGAAGCAAUAUCCACAAGGAAUAUCCGAAUUAACGAGUCUAGUCACAUUGAAUAAAGUCCUUCCUUGUGAUGGGAAUAAGGUGGGGUGGUUGAAGAAUUUUAACCGACUUAGCGGGGAAGUGGAGUUGUCAAUUGAAAUAAGCAGUUGUGGUGAUUCAGUGGAGGAUGCUCGUGAGGCGGAGUUGGGGAAAAAGAUGCACAUUCAAGAACUGAGAAUAUAUUUCUCUGGAUCAACAACAGCAAUGGAUGGCCGUGGCAAACAAGUGAAAGAUACUUCUUCAUCAUCGUCGUCAACAUCGGUUUCUAAUGAAGUACUAGAUGCUCUUCACCCACAUCCAAACCUCCAACAGCUGACUAUCAAGGCCUAUAACGGCUCCCGACUUCCGGGAUGGAUCACGUCCCCCCUCAACCAACUCACAUCUAUUGAGCUCCACUUGUGUGAAUGUCUUUCGUUGCUUCCGCCGCUGGGUAAACUACCGCUACUGGAGACUCUUUCGAUUCAAGAUUUAUAUGAAUUGGAAUAUGUUGGACGGGAAUUCUUGGGAAUAUCAACAACAACAUCUUCAUUGAUGGGUACUAUUGUUGGUGGCUUCCCCAAGUUGAAGUACCUGACAUUUAGAGGAUGUAAUAACUGGAAGAAGUGGGAAGACAUUGCGGUGGAAGAAGAAGAUGAUAAUGUUGCUAUCUCAAUAAUGCCUUGCCUGACGGAGUUGGAGAUCACUGACUGCAGGAGAUUGAUGGAUCUGCCGCAACGCCUCAUGCGAAAGGUUUCAUCAUCAUUGAAGGUGUUGCGUAUUUAUGGUUCCAAACUGGUAGAUGCUCUUGAGCCACAUCCAAACCUGCAUAAGCUGAGGAUCAAGGAGUAUGAAGGCUCUCAACUUCCACGAUGGAUCACGUCCCCCCUCAACCAACUCACACAUGUUGGGCUCUACGAUUGUGAAUACCUUGUGUCGUUGCCGCCGCUGGGUAAACUACCUCUACUGGAGACUCUUGAUAUUCGAAGUUUACAUGAAUUGGAAUAUGUUGGACGGGAAUUCCUGGGAAUAGCAACAACAGCAACAACUUCGUGUUCGUCGGGUACUAAUAAUAUUAUUGAUGGUGGCUUUCCCAAGUUAAAAAAACUGACAUUUUGGAGGUGUCCAAAGUGGAACAAGUGGGAGGACAUUACUACUGCCCAAGAAGAAGAAGAAGAAGAGUAUACAAUAAUGCGUUGCCUCACGGAGUUGACUAUCGUUUACUGCAAGGGAUUGACGGAGCUGCCGCAACACCUCCUGCAAAAGGUUUCAUCAUCAUUGAAGAUGUUGGAUAUUAGAGGUUCAACACAACUGGAACAAGUCUACAGGAACAAGGAGGGUCAACCCUGGAAAUCCAUUUCCCGCCACAAUCCACACCUUCGCCUCUUCCGUCGAAAUAUUAGAUAGUUCUUUCAUCUUUCAUUAAUUCGAUUCAGUUAAUAUCAUGACCAUUAAUUAAUUCCUUGUUUUUUUUCAUAUGUACGUAUCAUCAAUAUCACUUGUACUAUUAGAAUAGAGUUGGAUAAUGAAUUAUAACAACAACACUCUACUAUUUCAGCCUAAUCCUAAUCCUAAUAUAUUACUAAAUUAAGCUACAUAUAUAUACAUAUUAUUAAUGGAGGCUGAAGCAAUAACUACAUAAAAGAAAAUUAGUUGUGGCAUGACCAAGAAAUUAGAUCCUGCCCCGGAAAAUGGUGAUGGUGCUGGUGAUCGAGAAAUCGGGUCGUCGUGCAUCAACGAAAUCACUUCCACCAUUAAUCUUUGCCCGUUUUUGCACCGAACCGGGUCGGAACUCACAAAGUACGCCGGGCCGGGUCGACCCAGAUUGAAAAUGGUGUUUCCAUCGUCGAAUACGGCGGAGAUGGGGUGGGUUGAGUUGCAGUGGUAGUACCCCCAUUUGUCUACCACCACCACCGAAUCAUUCUUGUACUCGAAACCUUGUUUUACAAUAAUAAAUAGUUACAUAAAUAUUAAUGAAGAUCAAUUACAUAAAAUAUAAGUUGAAAUUAUUAUAUAUAUAUAUAUUUAAAAUAAAUAAAAAAGUACUUACGGAGAAAAUCUCCGACAUGGAAUCUCACGGUUGAUGCCCACCGGGUGUACAUUUCAGUGUCGUUGGCUGCCGGCUGCCGCCAACCCUCGUCGCCGCCAACCAUGAACUCCUCCGCCGCGGUGGCUGCUGGAGAAGAAGUUGUGAUGGCCAGUAUGAAUAAAGUGGCAAAGCAAAAACUUGUAAAAGAAGCCAUUAAAAACAUGUGAAUUUAUUUUCGAUUCUGAAGAGGUUUGUUUAUAUCACCAUAGAUAUAUAUAGUGGGAGGAGGGAUUUUCAAAUACUGGAAGUAACCGGCAACAAAAGUGGUGGAGCACGGCGGUUAUUGGUAGUUGAAGAAGGUCGUGGUGUUUGACUUGGUCUGAGAAUUGUCCUACGUGGCCACAUCAUUUUUUUUAUUUUUUUUUUAAUGAAACACAAUCAACUUGAAAUUUUAUGCUUCUUUGCACCUCUAUAUAUAAUAUAUUUAUUAUUUUCCAAUAAAACGGACAAAUUUGCUAGACACUCCUUAUUUUGUACUUAUUAAUACAGCAAUAACGAAGCCACAAAACAAGUUUGAGUUUCACAAAAAUGAAAUAUUUAAUCAUACAAUUAAAUAAGCUUAGCAUUUUUCUGUCAAGACUAGAUUAAUAUAAUAUACAACAAAAAAUAAACUCUUAAACCUUCUAUGUACCCGAACAUGCGUCUUUCCGGCUUUAAUGGGCGAAUUCGAGCUCGAUUUCUGUUCUCAACGAUUAGAAAUUAACCAAAGAGAAAUCAAAUCAACCAAUAAGAAGCGCGUCUCUAUCUUUUACGACCAUAAUAUUGCAAAAUUUUCUUCGUGCCUGAAAGCUAGAAAGAAAGACGAACAAUAUCAAAUAUUUAAUCAUAUACUUCUAGAACCUUAAUCGAUGAAAUCCAGUAAUGUAUACAUUUACAAAUUAAAACGCGAUACCUUAUAGAAGCAUGCGGAUACACUUCAACGGUGAGAUGCUUCCACGUCAGCAAUAAUAUUUUGCAGCUGUAAUAAUUUUGCUGACCUGAUAUCAAGUAUACUAGGUGGCAUAGAUUGAAUAGAUCCAUGUAACUCAACCAAGUUAAAGAAUUCUUGUUUGGUUAAACUCUUCUUCUCAAUAAGAUUGUCGACAACGGCAUCCAUAAGUCCUCGGUUUUGCUCAAGAAUCUGUGUGAAGAAAGUCCGGAACAAAACCUUAGUAUUUUGUCCAUUAGUAUUGUUUUAAGGGGUAAUAAUGUCUUUAUGACGUACCGAUUUAGCACGUUCGUAACAGAUGUCGAGGAUCCGCAGUGCCUCUGAAUCAAUAUCCUGAAAUCAAAAUUUUGCAUCUCAAGCAUUAGCCACGUGCAGGGAUAUAUUAUUACAAUAAAAAUUAUGAAAAUUGAGCAUUUUUUUAUGUUUUUGGUACGAGAUGUGAUGAAUGCAUAAUUUUUCGUAAGUCAAUGAUUUUUUUUUUCUUUUUUUGCAAGAAUUUCAAGAUAUAGAAGGAAAAUUACAUUUAUCCUAUUUGCAGUCCAGAAGUUGUUCAAGCCGUAAUGCUUCUCAGAAAGGCCGCCAAGAACUAAGGUCCGUGCAGCUGAACGAGCAUUAUCUGCUGUCUCUGCCCAGAUAGUACUCAGCUGAAACAAAAUAAAAAUAAAAAUAAAAAUAAAAAAUAAAUCAAAGAAAUAGUAAAACCAUCUAAAAUAUAAGUUCGAUAGGUGAAGGCAUUGUCAGGUUAAUUAUAUUCCAGCUUAGUACAGAACUGAAGAUUUACACCCCUAUUCUGCAAAACCUAUUCCAAGAAAUCACGGAAUAAUUUGCAAAUUCAAGUAUGGAAAACAAAAUAUAGGGUCUCGUUACCUGAUGUUCGCCAUAGAAAAGUCCGUCAGCUGCACGUGGUGCGAGUUGGACUGUAAUGUGAUCCAACAGAGAUUGUCGGCUGUAAAUAUAAAAUGCUAAGGUUUAGCACAUGCAUCUAAAUACAUAUGAGAAAACGCAUGUUAAACUUAUAAACAUCCCUUGAAUUAUUCUUUUAGGAGUAUUAUAUAAAAUUAGGUGACUAUUAGUAAAUUUUAGUUAAAAUAGUACAAAUCAAGACACAUACAAGAAAGAUAAACUAAUAAACUUUUUUAGUAAAACUCUAUAUUCACUCUCAAAAUUUCAAUUGUAUGGGAAAGAAAUAAAAAAUAUGUAGAAGAAAAAUUACAAAAUUGCCGAUAAAGGGUGGGAGAAAGGAUACCUCAACAUUCCUUCCUUAAAUUUCAUGUUGUCCAUUUUCAGUCGUACAUAACCCAUUUCCCUUCCAGCUCUUGGAGAAAUUGUCAACUGAAAUAAAAAUACAGAGAAUGCAAAACCUUAAGUCAAAUUUGUACGAGAGAACUGUGCCAAAUUUGUAUCCUCCGUAUAUAUGCAGUAAGAUUAGUGAAAUUCUAAAGAUCAAACCAUUGCAGCGCUUUUAAUGUAUAUAAUAUGCAUGACAGUUUAAGAAGUAACGAAACGUAGCAAGUACUAAACAUACAAACUCAAUAUUUCGGAGAUCCGGAAAGUUGACAGCAACUACAGCCAUAGCUGCUUCAUUUAUAGCUACUUGCUUCCACAUCUCAGGGCUUCUGUCUUUUCUAUCUAGCAUUCCUCUUUCUUCUAUUUGUGCAGCUUGUAACAAGUCAUCAGUAGUAAUCUGCCACAAGCACAAUUAUUAAUAGGUAAAGCUAUUAAUACUCUCGAAAAAUGUAACCCACAUAUGUGCCAUUUUUUGUUUGAGGGCUGUAAUUAUACUCGUGUGACAUACCCGAAUAACAUCUCGACACUAAUUAUUCAUACGAAACAUGCUUUGGUAGCAACAAGUAGAUUUGACCAGUGACUAGAAGAACAGACGUUUUAAAAUAGAAAACCAAGUACUUGCAUUUCCAUGUUAAAUGGCCAUGGACCCGCUCUUAUACAAAUCUUAUAUUAUUCCAGUUUAUUUCUCCUAAUCAAUCAUUUGUAGAAUUUUUCCACACCAUUCAAUGUUUUCAGCAAUUCAAAGUGCAUACCUCAGUUCUGCUAUCACGCAUCAUAUUUAUGGCAGCAACUUCUAUGAUGUUUGCCAGCUCAGCACCGACCAUUCCGUCGGUCAUACUAGCAACAGCCAUAUAAUCCACAUCCGGGGCCAUUGGUUUCUUUCGAGCAUGAACCUAACACCAGAAAAAGAAACCAUAACAAAUUAUAUUUAAACAAAUGAUUAUAUAUAAGAAUAAAUUUACACAGACAGCAAACCUUCAGAAUCUCAACGCGGCCUAUAACUCCAGGCUUGGGAAUAUAUAUUUUCCGAUCGAACCUCCCAGGUCUGACAAGUGCUGGAUCCAAAAUGUCUGGUCUAUUAGUCGAGGCAAUGGUAAUGACUUCACCUCUGCCUUCAAACCCAUCGAGGCACACAAGAAGCUGGAGCAUAGUUAUGGUGUUGCGUAUUAGUAACGACCCGUACAUCAUUUAUCAAUUGGAAACUAAAAGAAAUACAAUAUGCGCAAGAAACCUGAUUUAAAGUAGCAUCACGCUCUUGUCCACCGGACCCCUUAAUUAAACCACGUUCUCUACCAACAGCAUCCAGUUCAUCAAUGAAAACAACAGAUGGAGCCUGCAUUAGUCACAUAAAACUCGGAUCUUAUUGCCAUUUCCAUCAAUAACUUAAACAGAUGUUAGAAGUUAACGUCAUUUGAAUUAUCAUAAUCGAAUAAAGGAAGAGAAAGACUCACAUUUUCCCUUGCAUCUUGGUAAAGUGCUCGAACACGAGAAGCACCGACACCAACAUAUAUUUCGACGAACUGAGAUGCAGAAAUGGAGAAGAAGUUAACACCUGCCUCACCAGCCACAGCUUUUGCUAAUAAUGUUUUACCCACACCGGGGGGCCCACAAAGAAGUAUACCACCUGAUGAUUCCGACCCAAAAUUAGGUCACAAAACGAGAAGGACGAAUCAUAUUCCAAGAAAACAUGUACUUAAAGUUAAUGUUUCUAAGCUGGCCUCUAAACCAACUAGCAUAAACUAACACAUUGGGAGUUCAGCCGUUAACUGAUUUCAUAUGUAUGUAGGAAAAUAGUUACCGUAAGACAAGAUAAAUAGUAACAUCUAAGUUUGUCAAUCACGGUAUCUGACCUGGUAUUUUAACUCCACGCCUUCGAUACAUUUCCCCAUGUGUAAAAAACUUCACAACCUCCUCAAGCUCAAGUCGGAUUUUCCCAAGCCCUGCAACAUCCGUGAACUUCACAUCGACACCCCUUUCCAAAAACUGCGGAAGCUUCUUACGUUGGGCCCGCCUCACACGAGCCCCCGACUUCAUAAACUGCUGUGCUGUUUUCAUGUAAGGAUUAUCUUCCCCUUUUCCUCCUUCCUCCCCCUCUUCAUCACCAUCCUCAAUCCCCGCCAUUUCCUUUUCAAGAUCCCUCAUCUUCUUCUUCUCGUCAGCCUCCGCUUUUUCUAUUUUCAACCUAUCAUCAUAAUCCUUCUUCUGCUUUCUAUAGUUGAGCACAACAGUUCGGUAAAAUAUAUAGAAGAAGACAAACCCAAGUGCAGUGGAGACAUUCGAAUCACUAGCUAAUCUCUCCCACACUAUCGCCAUGCUGUCUGAGCUCCUACGCGCUUGCCGUAUUGACUCUUCGUACUUCAACUUUUUCAUUUCCCUCCUUUUUUGCUUCUCCUCCAUUUUCUUCUGCGCUUUUAUGGCAUUUUCCAUCGUCUCCCUAUCCUCCUUCAUCUUCGCCAGCUCGUCGCUCCUCCUCCUCUUGAACUCCUCUCUCACCCUCUUCAACUCCAACGCCUUCUUCGACUGAGGCUUGGUCUUAAGCAAUGAAAACAUCCAUAACGGGAUUUUGGACAAGAACCCGAGAUAAGGUUUCGGAAUAUCAGGGUUUUUCACAGAUGGACUGUAAGCAGUCAUACAGAGACCAUCGAUUUUCAACUCAUCCCACUCUUGCCAAAACUUCGGAUCACUCUCGACCGAAGGCAGCACGCUCCUAACAACCUUAUUAUCCUCUAAAACCACCAAAACUACCUCCGGCCGCUGCUUUAAACCCGCGUUCGGCGGCUUAACAAUGUGCUUAAUCUUGUUUUCCCUUUUCAUAUCCAAUAUUUCACUAUAACCAAGUCUGUGGGAUACAACAGGAAGCCCUUUUGUCCACUUCUCUAGCUCCUCAGGGGUUAGAGCUUCAGUCCUUUUCCCCAAACGCUUCUUUUCGGAAACUUUCGCCGCAGCUAAAGAGGGCUGCGGGAGUGAGGCUGAAAUGACAGUUAGUGUUACAGAGAAUUUGACUAAAUCCAAUGGUGCCUUCCUGAGUUUUGAUUCUUCUUCUUUUUCUUCUUCUUCAUUUGUGGUGAUAGUUUCUGGGGUUUCAGUCAAAUUACAUGAAAUUCGGGCAAGGGUUUUGGGUUUUGGGAAAUUAGGGCGGAAUAGGAGCGGAGGAGGAGGUGCGGGUGAGAAUGGAGAAUUGAGAAUGCAAUUGCCGGCCAUGGAAAUUGGCUUAGGCUAAGCUAAUCGCAUGGGGGUAGAAAAAAUUAUUCGCCGGUCGGAAAGUUCAGAAUUCAUACAUUUUUAUCCACCACCGUUAAUUCCGAUGAUGGAGACGAAAUUCGUAUUGAGGAAGAUAAAAUGGAGCAAUUUUGUGUAUUUGUAUGCGUGUUUUUUUUAGAGGAUUGGUGGAUGUUGCAGAUGGAGGCUGCAGCGGCGUCGCCGUCGGUGCGCGGCGGAGAUGGAUAUGGUUAAUCGGCGGUGAUGGCCCAAAUGCCGGAACCCAUUUGGCAUACGCUUACAAGAAUUUUUCCCUGCCUGCAAAAGCCCAUCUGUAUUGGGCCUGUUUCUGCAAAAGCCCAUUUAUAUCGGGCCGGUUUCUUUUCAUCAUUUAUUACAUAUAAAAUAAUAUUUUAUUAUUUUAUGACGUGGAAAAUAUUUAUAAAAUUUAUAUUUAUAAAUCAUUCUCAAGCUAUGUUGUACGAAAACUUUAACUUCUUAACAUCUUCGGGUUUCGGAAACGUUUCGUGUCAAAAAUUCAAAAACACGUGUCAAAUACAUUAUGGGUCCUUUUAUAAAUUUCUAAAAAGUUAGAAACACGUGAGAAUAGUAAAUUUUCAAAUAACUUCAUUGUUUCCUAAAUUAUUUAUAUGAUGUAACGAGCAAUUGUAAAUUGAUUACUUUAUAGUAAAAUUUACUUUGACUAUGUUUGUUUUAAAAAUUAUAUAAAAAGAAUUUAUAUAUAAAUAAAAAUUUGUUCAUAUAUUUUUAAUAUUUACACAUUUCCUCCAAGUCCUCGUAUCCUUAUUUUCUGAAUAUGCGGUUUCCCAGUAUUUGUUUCCCGAUUUCCCUGUAUCACCGUUUUCGUAGUUCACAACUAUUUGAAAAAAAAUAACUUAUAAGUAAAGUCUUAUUUCUAAAUUAACUUCAUGCAAUCAUGCCCCUCAUUAAUCACAAUUUAAAAUGAGUAUCAUACAUUUAUUUAUUUAUUUUAAAUGUUUAUUUUAUAUUAAUUUAACCCACCUAUGUUCAUAUGAAACAUGAUUUGAGCUUACAUGUACGUAAUUAAACAAUUAAGUAUUGUUUAGUUUAGCUCUGUACUGAGUUAUUUGAGUUGGAAUUUGAAGCACAAACCCUAGAAACACAAUCCAGCAAUCAAUCCCAUUAUCACAAUUCACAGUGAAUCCAAAUUUUUAAUCUCUCAAUCUACUUUUCAUCCCUCUUAUAUUUCUCAAUUCCCACCCCGGAAUCAUAAUCAAUCGGCUGAAUUAAAUAAAUGGAUUUGUCGUCGAAAUUACCCAACCGCAGUUCGUCCGUCGACCUUCUGUUUUUCCUCGGUGCAAUUUCACGCCAGGAAAUGAGUUUGAAAUGUGGAUACACUGAAUUCAACCAUUAUUUGUUCUCUGUGUGGGGGUGGGG